UACGAACCGUCCUAACGUUGUUCGGAAUCACUGGGCUUAAAGGGCGCGUAGGCGGGCCAUCAAGUCCGGGGUGAAAUACUUCGGCUUAACCGGAGAAUUGCCUUGGAUACUGGUGGUCUAGAGGGAGGUAGGGGUCUGUGGAACUUCCGGUGGAGCGGUGAAAUGCGUUGAUAUCGGAAGGAACGCCGGUGGCGAAAGCGACGGACUGGACCUCUUCUGACGCUGAGGCGCGAAAGCCAGGGGAGCAAACGGG
This 253-nucleotide ribosomal RNA is filed under the name uncultured bacterium. RNAcentral describes it as "partial 16S ribosomal RNA". It matches the Rfam family "Bacterial small subunit ribosomal RNA", at positions 524 to 776 of the family's 1533-position model. The record is from RNAcentral.